UACGUAGGUCCCGAGCGUUGUCCGGAUUUAUUGGGCGUAAAGCGAGCGCAGGUGGUUUAAUAAGUCUGAAGUUAAAGGCAGUGGCUUAACCAUUGUACGCUUUGGAAACUGGAGGACUUGAGUGCAGAAGGGGAGAGUGGAAUUCCAUGUGUAGCGGUGAAAUGCGUAGAUAUAUGGAGGAACACCGGUGGCGAAAGCGGCUCUCUGGACUGUAACUGACACUGAGGCUCGAAAGCGUGGGUAGCAAACAGG
This 252-nucleotide ribosomal RNA is filed under the name uncultured microorganism. RNAcentral's name for it is "partial 16S ribosomal RNA". It matches the Rfam family "Bacterial small subunit ribosomal RNA", at positions 524 to 776 of the family's 1533-position model. The record is from RNAcentral.